Molecule: signal recognition particle RNA, 98 nt
Filed under: Ignavibacteriales bacterium CG_4_9_14_3_um_filter_34_10
Lineage: Bacteria; Pseudomonadati; Ignavibacteriota; Ignavibacteria; Ignavibacteriales
Description: signal recognition particle sRNA small type
Rfam family: Bacterial small signal recognition particle RNA
About the family: The signal recognition particle (SRP) is a universally conserved ribonucleoprotein involved in the co-translational targeting of proteins to membranes. Archaeal SRP consists of a 7S RNA and homologues of the eukaryotic SRP19 and SRP54 proteins.
Source: RNAcentral
UGCCAAGCCCUGUUUAACAGGUUAGUACCCAAUCCCGCCAGGUCCGAAAGGAAGCAACGGUCAGUAUUUAAUUUGUGUAAGCAGUAAGCUUGGCUUUU